UGGCCCAUGGCAUGGCCGAGCAUGCCGGGCGCUACCAGCGCCUGGGCGAAGCCUUGAGCGCCGCAGGUUUUGCCCUGAUCGCCCAU
RNAcentral lists this transfer RNA (86 nucleotides) under compost metagenome. RNAcentral's name for it is "tRNA-Gly". The record is from RNAcentral.